AUGUCAGCCCAAAACUUUGUAUGCUUCCCUUGGGCCGGGGGCCCGGAAGAAGAGAGUGACGAGCCUCCGUCGUCAAACCAGCCGUGCUCGAGUCGUGCACAGACUCUUCUCAAAAAGAAAAAUAAAAAGAAAAGGAAAAAGAAAAAGAAAAAGAAAAAGAAAAAAGAGUCGUGCACACAGACGCUGAGACGCAUCAUCCUUCUCCCCCACUCAUCCCCAACGACGACGGCGAGCCAUGUCCGCCUCACCCGCCUCGUCGCCCCAGCCGCCGGAGGCCAUCCGCGGAACCCUCAUUCCCGUUCUGCCCGACGACCUGGCGGUCCAGUGCAUCGCGCUCCUCCCGCGCGCCGCGCACCCAACCCUCGCCCUCGUCUCCCGCGCUCUGCACGCCCUCCUCUGCCUCCACCCGGAGCCCCUCCUGGCCGCCCGGUGCCGCCUCCGCCGCUCCGACCCCCACAUCGUCAUCUCGGUCCGGCCGCCCUACUCCGCGUCCCCUCGCUUCUUCCUGCUGCUGCCGCAUCCCGGGUGGCCCCCUCUGCCUCUCCCCUCCCCUCCGAUCCCCGUCUCCUCCUCCUCGGCCGUCGCGUCAACGGGCACCGGCUCUACCUCGUCGGCGGGUCCGUGGCCGGGAUCCCCGCUUCGUCGGUGCAAAUCCUGGACACCCGCACCAGAUCCUGGUCCAUCGGCCCGCGCCUCUCCUCCCCGCGGGAGUUCGCUGCCGCCGCGGUCCUCUCCGGCGUGCUCUUCGUCGCCGGGGGCUGUGUUCCGUCGUCCCCCUUCUGGGCCGAGGCUCUCGACCUUGCCUCCCCACACGCCAGGUGGUCCACGGUCCCCAGCCCGGACCACCUCCGGGAGAAGUGGAUGCACGGCUGCGUGUCGCUCGCCGGGAAGGUCCUUGCGGUGGCCGACCGCGGAGGCUUGGUCUACAACCCGGCGGCGCCACCUGGCGAGGCGUGGGCGCCGGUCUCCCCGGUCCUUGACAUGGGGUGGAAGGGCCGUGCUGCUGUGGUCGGUGGAAUCCUCUACUCUUACGAUUACAUGGGGCAGGUCAAGGGCUAUGAUCCAGACACUGAUUCCUGGAACACGGUGGAAGGAUUGGAGAAGGAGCUGCCGAGGUUCCUUUGUGGUGCCACGCUUGCCAAUGUCGGCGGACUGCUCUACCUGAUCUGGGAGGGGAAGUGGAAAGGGAAAGCUAGCAAGGGAGAAGGCAAAGUGAAGGACAUGUUGGUGAUUGAAUGGGCUACCAUUGAGGUGACGAGGGCCGAAGAGGGGCGGUUAAGUGGGAAGGUAAUAUCCAGGGAUACUGCUGUGUUCACAGACAUGCCGAGGGGUUCUGCGAUCACACAUUGCAUUUCGUUGGAUCUAUGA
This 1368-nucleotide ribosomal RNA is filed under the name Triticum aestivum (bread wheat). RNAcentral's name for it is "partial small subunit ribosomal RNA". The record is from RNAcentral. Lineage: Eukaryota; Viridiplantae; Streptophyta; Magnoliopsida; Poales; Poaceae.